CGAGUAAAGUGGCGCACGGGUGAGUAACGCGUGGGUGACCUACCCUGGAAUUUGGGAUAACACUGCGAAAGUGGUGCUAAUACCGGAUACGAUCCUUCAGCGAUGGAGGGUGAAAGUCGGCCUCUCGAAGAAGCUGAUGUUCUGGGAUGGGCUCGCGUCCUAUCAGCUAGUUGGUAGGGUAAUGGCCUACCAAGGCGACGACGGGUAGCUGGUCUGAGAGGAUGAUCAGCCACACUGGCACUGGAACACGGGCCAGACUCCUACGGGAGGCAGCAGUGAGGAAUUUUGCGCAAUGGGGGAAACCCUGACGCAGCAACGCCGCGUGGGUGAAGAAGGCCUUCGGGUCGUAAAGCCCUGUCAGGUGGGAAGAAUGUCCCCAGGGUGAACAAUUUUGGGGAGUGACGGUACCACCAGAGGAAGCACCGGCUAACUCCGUGCCAGCAGCCGCGGUAA
This 453-nucleotide ribosomal RNA is filed under the name uncultured delta proteobacterium. RNAcentral's name for it is "bacterial SSU rRNA". It matches the Rfam family "Bacterial small subunit ribosomal RNA", at positions 87 to 523 of the family's 1533-position model. The record is from RNAcentral. Lineage: Bacteria; Deltaproteobacteria.